Paramisgurnus dabryanus is the source of this 1303-nucleotide long non-coding RNA. RefSeq lists it as uncharacterized. The record is from RefSeq and is a predicted model, not a curated record. NCBI's taxonomy places the organism in Eukaryota, Metazoa, Chordata, Actinopteri, Cypriniformes, Cobitidae.
GUUAGAUGUCGCUGUAGAUUUAGCAGUACAUUACUGUAAAAAUCCACAGUACUAUACUGUAUGUGUACAUUACAGUACAGUACUGCAGUUCAUAAUGCAUUCUGGGUAAAUUUGUUUGAGCGGGAAAAUUUUACAGUAUAUUUUGGUCUUGAUGUAACCUUGCUGUAGCCAUUGCUGUAAUGUGCCAGGUGUACUUGCAAUAAUCAGAGAAAGUGCGCCAACGUCAAAUCACACAGAGGGAGAGAGAGCACAACUCCUGGCUGCAGCUGAAGGAGGACGAUUGAUUUCUGGCAGUUCGUCUUACCAUUGCUUGUAAGCUGGAUUGGGUAAGAUGGAUCAUCUUUAAAGGCACCAGGAGUUAAGGCAGAUGUGGAGGCACAACGGGUGAUACCAGACACACACCAAGCACAUUAUGUUUGGACAUUCAAUCAUGACAUGAUCCAGGUGGAUGCUGUCCAUUGAGGAAAGAGUUUGUUCAGCGGUUUCUGGAUAGAAUUAAUUCCAAAGAUGGGAAAAAGUGCACAUCCAGACAAGGAGCAAGCAAAAAGACAAGGAACUUGGUGCAGAGAAAAGCUGUGGCCAUUAACCCCUGUGAACAGCUUCAUGCAGUCGCUGAUUGAGUUCGAAUGGACGACUUCAGUAAAGGCCACUGUGGUCUGUCUGCCACAGUUUAAUUUUUAAUUUAUUUUUAGUGUUCAAUGAAAUUCAAGUAGAAUAUUUAAAACUAUGGGCCAGUGUUGUUUUUACCACGGUGAAAUGUUACCUUUUAGUCGAUGAUGGACUUUAAACUGAAAACUUCAAACUAUGGAACAGUGUUCUAUUUGCCAGAGUUAAAUAUGUUACAGCAGGGGUCUCCAAACUUGUUUAUACUUGUUGAUUUUAUUUUAUGUUACUUGAUUAUAUGUUUAUUAUUGUUUAAAAUCUUGUUUUAAAUAUGUUUGUUUCAAUUAAAUGUUUUUUUUAAUAAAAUUUUGAUACAAACAUUGCUUGGAUUGCCUUUUAAUUCAUUAUGUUUUAAUUUAGCAUUUUUACCAUAUUAAUAACUAUAGAUUUAAACCUAAAUCUCUAGCUAUUUUAUAUAAUAUUAUUGUAUUAACUGUAAUAAGUAAUAAAUAGUAUUUAUGGGUCAAUAUAGACAUUACAGUAAAUUACUGUAAAAAUAGACUACUGUAAUAAAAUAUUGUAAAAUUACAGUACAGUACUGCUUUGUAACUAUACAGUACUAGUUUGUGUACUGUAAAAUGGUAUUACAGUACAGUACUGUAAAACCAAAAUACAGUAACUUACUGGCAACCGUGCUGCC